GAUGAACGCUGGCGGCGUGCCUAAUACAUGCAAGUCGAGCGAACAGACGAGGAGCUUGCUCCUCUGACGUUAGCGGCGGACGGGUGAGUAACACGUGGAUAACCUACCUAUAAGACUGGGAUAACUUCGGGAAACCGGAGCUAAUACCGGAUAAUAUAUUGAACCGCAUGGUUCAAUAGUGAAAGACGGUUUUGCUGUCACUUAUAGAUGGAUCCGCGCCGCAUUAGCUAGUUGGUAAGGUAACGGCUUACCAAGGCAACGAUGCGUAGCCGACCUGAGAGGGUGGUCGGCCACACUGGAACUGAGGCACGGUCCAGACUCCUACGGGAGGCAGCAGUAGGGAAUCUUCCGCAAUGGGCGAAAGCCUGACGGAGCAACGCCGCGUGAGUGAUGAAGGUCUUCGGAUCGUAAAACUCUGUUAUUAGGGAAGAACAAAUGUGUAAGUAACUAUGCACGUCUUGACGGUACCUAAUCAGAAAGCCACGGCUAACUACGUG
Molecule: ribosomal RNA, 497 nt
Filed under: uncultured bacterium
Lineage: Bacteria
Description: partial 16S ribosomal RNA
Rfam family: Bacterial small subunit ribosomal RNA
Source: RNAcentral